UGGGGAAUUUUGGACAAUGGGCGAAAGCCUGAUCCAGCAAUGCCGCGUGUGUGAAGAAGGCCUUCGGGUUGUAAAGCACUUUUGUCCGGAAAGAAAUCCUUGGCUCUAAUACAGUCGGGGGAUGACGGUACCGGAAGAAUAAGCACCGGCUAACUACGUGCCAGCAGCCGCGGUAAUACGUAGGGUGCAAGCGUUAAUCGGAAUUACUGGGCGUAAAGCGUGCGCAGGCGGUUUGCUAAGACCGAUGUGAAAUCCCCGGGCUCAACCUGGGAACUGCAUUGGUGACUGGCAGGCUAGAGUAUGGCAGAGGGGGGUAGAAUUCCACGUGUAGCAGUGAAAUGCGUAGAGAUGUGGAGGAAUACCGAUGGCGAAGGCAGCCCCCUGGGCAAUACUGACGCUCAUGCACGAAAGCGUGGGGAGCAAACAGGAUUAGAUACCCUGGUAGUCCACGCCCUAAAACGAUGUCAACUAGUUGUUGGGGAUUCAUUUCCUUAGUAACGUAGCUAACGCGUGAAGUUGACCGCCUGGGGAGUACGGUCGCAAGAUUAAAACUUAAAGGAAUUGACGGGGUCAUAGCUGUUUCCU
Molecule: ribosomal RNA, 585 nt
Filed under: uncultured bacterium
Lineage: Bacteria
Description: partial 16S ribosomal RNA
Rfam family: Bacterial small subunit ribosomal RNA
Source: RNAcentral